CUGCGAGAGUCGUAAAUUUUCAGUUACGAUACGAUAAUCGACGCCACGAAUCAGUCGAUCCCCUAUUUCGGUUAAGAGAAUAGAGGUGGUUGAAACGAUGAUAACACUGAGUUAACAGGUUAAAACACAUGUAGAAACACAUGAUUUAAACAAAUGUCAAGAGUAAUAAAUUUGUUAUUAUUUCCAUCGUUACUACAAUGAUGUAACGAAAUUAAUGCAGUAUAAAACAUAUAAAAAUAAUUUUAUUUAUACAUGAAAUAUAGAUCUAUUAUGUGCACCUCCCAUCAGUGGCUGUCGAACAUGAGAAAAACCUGCUUUUGCGUGUUUUACCUUAAGGAACAAUAACCCUAAGGAAAGUUUCGACUUGAAAUAUGUUUGAUAACAAUUAAGGGCCUUCAUAGUAAAGUAGAAAAUGCUAAAUCUCAAUAAUGGUUCUUCAGGUCUAUUGCCGGUCCGAAUAAGUAUGACCGAGGGAUGGAUUAUGAUUUAUAGUAGGUUCCUGGACAUAACAACAUAGAAUAGUUAU
Long non-coding RNA from Bombus impatiens (common eastern bumble bee), 526 nucleotides. RefSeq lists it as uncharacterized. The transcript has 3 exons. Lineage: Eukaryota; Metazoa; Arthropoda; Insecta; Hymenoptera; Apidae. The record is from RefSeq and is a predicted model, not a curated record.